This 81-nucleotide transfer RNA is filed under the name Vibrio sinensis. RNAcentral describes it as "Vibrio sp. BEI233 tRNA-Leu". It matches the Rfam family "tRNA". Rfam says of the family: Transfer RNA (tRNA) molecules are approximately 80 nucleotides in length. Their secondary structure includes four short double-helical elements and three loops (D, anti-codon, and T loops). Lineage: Bacteria; Pseudomonadati; Pseudomonadota; Gammaproteobacteria; Vibrionales; Vibrionaceae. The record is from RNAcentral.
CCCUGGUGGUGGAAUUGGUAGACACAAGGGAUUUAAAAUCCCUCGGCGUUCGCGCUGUGCCGGUUCAAGUCCGGCCCGGGG